Molecule: ribosomal RNA, 761 nt
Filed under: Aeromicrobium sp.
Lineage: Bacteria; Bacillati; Actinomycetota; Actinomycetes; Propionibacteriales; Nocardioidaceae
Description: bacterial SSU rRNA
Rfam family: Bacterial small subunit ribosomal RNA
Source: RNAcentral
GAACGCUGGCGGCGUGCUUAACACAUGCAAGUCGAGCGGUAAGGCUCCUUCGGGAGUACACGAGCGGCGAACGGGUGAGUAACACGUGAGCAACCUACCCCUUUCAUCGGAAUAACCAGUGGAAACGCUGGCUAAUGCCGAAUACGACCACCGAAGGCAUCUUCUGGUGGUGGAAAGCUCCGGCGGAGAGGGAUGGGCUCGCGGCCUAUCAGCUAGUUGGUGAGGUAAUGGCUCACCAAGGCAACGACGGGUAGCCGGCCUGAGAGGGUGACCGGCCACACUGGGACUGAGACACGGCCCAGACUCCUACGGGAGGCAGCAGUGGGGAAUAUUGGACAAUGGGCGAAAGCCUGAUCCAGCAACGCCGCGUGAGGGAUGACGGCCUUCGGGUUGUAAACCUCUUUCAGUAGGGACGAAGCGAAAGUGACGGUACCUACAGAAGAAGGACCGGCCAACUACGUGCCAGCAGCCGCGGUAAUACGUAGGGUCCGAGCGUUGUCCGGAAUUAUUGGGCGUAAAGGGCUCGUAGGCGGUUUGUCGCGUCGGGAGUGAAAACUCAGGGCUCAACCCUGAGCGUGCUUCCGAUACGGGCAAACUAGAGGUAUGCAGGGGAGAAUGGAAUUCCUGGUGUAGCGGUGGAAUGCGCAGAUAUCAGGAGGAACACCGGUGGCGAAGGCGGUUCUCUGGGCAUUACCUGACGCUGAGGAGCGAAAGCAUGGGGAGCGAACAGGAUUAGAUACCCUGGUAGUCCAUGCCGUAAA